This 427-nucleotide ribosomal RNA is filed under the name uncultured archaeon. RNAcentral's name for it is "bacterial SSU rRNA". It matches the Rfam family "Archaeal small subunit ribosomal RNA", at positions 474 to 903 of the family's 1478-position model. The record is from RNAcentral.
UACCAGCUCUCCGAGUGGUAGGGACGCUUAUUGGGCUUAAAGCGUCCGUAGCCGGUUCAGCAAGUCCUCCGUUAAAUCCAGCGAUUCAAUCGUUGGACUGCGGGGAUACUGUUGGACUAGGGGACGGGAGAGGCCAACGGUAUUCUCGGAGUAGGGGUGAAAUCCUAUAAUUCCGGGAGGACCACCAGUGGCGAAGGCUGUUGGCUAGAACGAGCUCGACGGUGAGGGACGAAAGCUGGGGGAGCGAACCGGAUUAGAUACCCGGGUAGUCCCAGCAGUAAACGAUGCAGGCUAGGUGUUAGGGUGGCCACGAGCCACUCUAGUGCCGCAGCGAAGGCAUUAAGCCUGCCGCCUGGGGAGUACGGCCGCAAGGCUGAAACUUAAAGGAAUUGGCGGGGAGCACCACAAGGCGUGAAGCGUGCGGUUU